AUUUUGCUUCACAGAGAAAGGUGCGCUUAAGCUGUUGAGAUGAGGACUGGUGUCAUGCUGUUUUCUGCUGUAAUUCUGUCUCUUCUGGUCUUUACUUCUGUUGCCCAAGGCCAGACCUGUUUGAGUCACUGCGACUAUAGCGACUGUUUAAGGGACUGUCAGGCUGACGGAUACCUGAGUGCCAUAUGUAGAUCAUCAAGGAGUUGUCCUUCAAGUAGACCUGAUGUCUGUCGCUGCCUAUUCAAAAAUUUCAUUUAAAGGAAAUCUACAUUUCAAGGAACUACAUGUUCGUAUCUCUGAUAAGAAAUAUGUAAUAAUGAUGCAAUAAAAAAGUGCGAA
Molecule: long non-coding RNA, 339 nt
Organism: Saccostrea cuccullata (small rock oyster)
Lineage: Eukaryota; Metazoa; Mollusca; Bivalvia; Ostreida; Ostreidae
Exons: 2
Source: RefSeq, a predicted model, not a curated record